AUUGAACGCUGGCGGCAGGCCUAACACAUGCAAGUCGAGCGGAUGAAGGGAGCUUGCUCCUGGAUUCAGCGGCGGACGGGUGAGUAAUGCCUAGGAAUCUGCCCGGUAGUGGGGGAUAACGUCCGGAAACGGGCGCUAAUACCGCAUACGUCCUGAGGGAGAAAGUGGGGGAUCUUCGGACCUCACGCUAUCAGAUGAGCCUAGGUCGGAUUAGCUAGUUGGUGGGGUAAAGGCCUACCAAGGCGACGAUCCGUAACUGGUCUGAGAGGAUGAUCAGUCACACUGGAACUGAGACACGGUCCAGACUCCUACGGGAGGCAGCAGUGGGGAAUAUCGGACAAUGGGCGAAAGCCUGAUCCAGCCAUGCCGCGUGUGUGAAGAAGGUCUUCGGAUUGUAAAGCACUUUAAGUUGGGAGGAAGGGCAGUAAGUUAAUACCUUGCUGUUUUGACGUUACCAACAGAAUAAGCACCGGCUAACUUCGUG
RNAcentral lists this ribosomal RNA (484 nucleotides) under uncultured bacterium. Its description in RNAcentral is "partial 16S ribosomal RNA". It matches the Rfam family "Bacterial small subunit ribosomal RNA", at positions 30 to 507 of the family's 1533-position model. The record is from RNAcentral.